This 253-nucleotide ribosomal RNA is filed under the name uncultured bacterium. RNAcentral's name for it is "partial 16S ribosomal RNA". It matches the Rfam family "Bacterial small subunit ribosomal RNA", at positions 524 to 776 of the family's 1533-position model. The record is from RNAcentral.
GACGUAGGAGGCGAGCGUUGUCCGGAUUCAUUGGGCGUAAAGAGCGUGUAGGCGGCUAGAUAGGUCCGUUGUGAAAACUCGAGGCUCAACCUCGAGACGUCGAUGGAAACCAUCUGGCUAGAGUCCGGAAGAGGAGAGUGGAAUUCCUGGUGUAGCGGUGAAAUGCGCAGAUAUCAGGAAGAACACCCGUGGCGAAGGCGGCUCUCUGGUACGUGACUGACGCUGAGACGCGAAAGCGUGGGGAGCAAACAGG